UGGGAGGAGGGAGGAAAGGAAGGAAGGAUGGAGAGGGAGAGAGAGAGACUGACCCACCGGGUGAGGACUGGGGAAACCACGGAUCUGAGCAGCAGCCCCUUUGGGCGGGCACCCUGAGGCACGCAGAGGGAAGCUGGAGCACGGAGCCCACCAAGGUGAAGUGACUCCGGGGUCGAAGCGGAGGCUUGCUCGCUGUGCACCUGGAGCCGCCAAGUAGAGGCGUCUACAAGAGUCUGGGCGCUCCUCGGAGCGCUCCUUCUCCGCGUCCCCAAACCAAGAGGAUCACCCAAGUCCCAGGAGCAGGAGUCCGGAGGCUGCCUGAAGGACAAAGCUGCUGAGUUCUAGAAAGAGAUAACUUAAAUGUUUACGUCUGGCAGGAGAGGAACAUUCACCAGCCUGUGCUCAGCAAUCCCAACUUCUCCUCAGAAGAUCCAUGGCUGCGUAGCUGAUGGAUGGUAAGGUUGUCCAGUGAUGCUGCGUAGCUUGCAAGAUCACACCUGGGGUUGACAGCAAGGACAGACCCAGACACUGAGAAGCAAAGCUCUGGAAAACCUGCCUACGGGUGGAGCGUUAGAUCGGCGUGUUUGCACUUUUUUGUGCUCUGGUCUUCCAUUCCCGUAGAUAUCAUGGCCUUCCUGUUUGCUGGCUGAAACGCAGAUGUGGGUGGUUGGGGUCUAUCAUAUUUUGUAGUAGCAUUUUGGUACCGUGUUAAAUUAAAACUAAACACUGGGCAAAGUGGCAUCCAAAAGAUCUUUAUAAAAUGUGGUAUUGAAAAUAGUCAUAGAUUCUGGUUUGGUUUAGUUGCCAAAGCCAAAUAAAGUGCACAGUAAUGAAAA
This 836-nucleotide long non-coding RNA is filed under the name Suricata suricatta (meerkat). Its description in RNAcentral is "lncRNA (ENSSSUG00005014932.1)". The record is from RNAcentral. Lineage: Eukaryota; Metazoa; Chordata; Mammalia; Carnivora; Herpestidae.